AUUGAACGCUGGCGGCAUGCCUUACACAUGCAAGUCGAACGGCAGCACGGGAGCAAUCCUGGUGGCGAGUGGCGAACGGGUGAGUAAUACAUCGGAACGUGCCCAGUAGUGGGGGAUAACCCGGCGAAAGCCGGACUAAUACCGCAUACGACCUACGGGUGAAAGCAGGGGAUCGCAAGACCUUGCGCUAUCGGAGCGGCCGAUGUCAGAUUAGCUAGUUGGUGGGGUAAAAGCCCACCAAGGCGACGAUCUGUAGCUGGUCUGAGAGGACGACCAGCCACACUGGGACUGAGACACGGCCCAGACUCCUACGGGAGGCAGCAGUGGGGAAUUUUGGACAAUGGGCGCAAGCCUGAUCCAGCCAUGCCGCGUGCGGGAAGAAGGCC
This 386-nucleotide ribosomal RNA is filed under the name uncultured bacterium. RNAcentral describes it as "bacterial SSU rRNA". It matches the Rfam family "Bacterial small subunit ribosomal RNA", at positions 29 to 416 of the family's 1533-position model. The record is from RNAcentral.